RNAcentral lists this ribosomal RNA (254 nucleotides) under uncultured bacterium. RNAcentral's name for it is "partial 16S ribosomal RNA". It matches the Rfam family "Bacterial small subunit ribosomal RNA", at positions 524 to 776 of the family's 1533-position model. The record is from RNAcentral.
UACGGGGGGGGCAAGCGUUGUUCGGAAUUACUGGGCGUAAAGGGCUCGUAGGCGGCCAACUAAGUCAGACGUGAAAUCCCCAGGCUCAACCUGGGAACUGCGUCUGAUACUGGAUGGCUUGAAUCCGGGAGAGGGAUGCGGAAUUCCAGGUGUAGCGGUGAAAUGCGUAGAUAUCAAGAGGAACACCUGAGGCGAAGGCGGGUUGCUAGGCUGACACUGACGCUGAGUGCGCGAAAGCCAGGGGAGCAAACGGG